Molecule: ribosomal RNA, 1475 nt
Filed under: uncultured Bordetella sp.
Lineage: Bacteria; Pseudomonadati; Pseudomonadota; Betaproteobacteria; Burkholderiales; Alcaligenaceae
Description: partial 16S-23S ribosomal RNA intergenic spacer
Rfam family: Bacterial small subunit ribosomal RNA
Source: RNAcentral
AGUUCGAUUAUGGCUCGAUUGAACGCUGGCGGGAUGCUUUACACAUGCAAGUCGAACGGCGGCACGGACUUCGGUCUGGUGGCGAGAGUGGCGAACGGGUGAGUAAUGUAUCGGAACGUGCCUAGUAGCGGGGGGUAACUGCGCGAAAGCGUAGCUAAUACCGCAUACGCCCUUCGGGGAAAGCGGGGACCUUCGGGCCUCGCACUAUUAGAAACAGCCGAUAUCGGAUUAGCCAGUUGGUGGGGUAACGGCUCACCAAGGCGACGAUCCAUCGCUGGUUUGAGAGGACGACCAACCACACUGGGACUGAGACACGGCCCAGACUCCUACGGGAGGCAGCAGUGGGGAAUUUUGGACAAUGGAAACCUGAUCCAGCCAUCCCGCGUGUGCGAUGAAGGCCUUCGGGUUGUAAAGCACUUUUGGCGGAAAACGGCACGGGAUAAUACCCCGUGCAACUGACGGUACCUGCAGAAUAAGCACCGGCUAACUACGUGCCAGCAGCCGCGGUAAUACGUAGGGUGCAAGCGUUAAUCGGAAUUACUGGGCGUAAAGCGUGCGCAGGCGGUUCGGAAAGAAAGAUGUGAAAUCCCAGAGCUUAACUUUGGAACUGCAUUUUAACUACCGAGCUAGAGUGUCAGAGGGAGGUGGAAUUCCGCGUGUAGCAGUGAAAUGCGUAGAUAUGCGGAGGAACACCGAUGGCGAAGGCAGCCUCCUAAGGAUAACACUGACGCUCAUGCACGAAAGCGUGGGAGCAAACAGGGAUUAAGAUACCCUGGUGGUCCACGCCCUAAACGUCAACUAACUGUAGGGCCUUCGGGCCUUGUUGUACAGCUAACGCGUGAAGUUGACCGCCUGGGGAAUUACGGUCGCAAGAUUCAGAAACUCAAGGAAUUGACGGGGACCCGCACAAGCGGUGGAUGAUCAACUUCUGGUUAAUUCGAUGCAACGCGAAAAACCUUACCUACCCUUGACAUGUCUGGAAUCCCGAAGAGAUUUGGGAGUGCUCGCAAGAGAACCGGAACACAGGUGCUGCAUGGCUGUCGUCAGCUCGUGUCGUGAGAUGUUGGGUUAAGUCCCGCAGCGGGCGGCCCUUGUCAUUGGAUUGCUACGAAAGGACACUCUAAUGGGGCUUACCGGUGGCAAACCGGAGGAAGGUGGGGAUGACGUCAAGUCCUCAUGGCCCUUAUGGGUAGGGCUUCACACGUCAUACAAUGAGUCGGGACAGAGGGUCGCCAACCGCGAGGAGACAAUCCCAGAAACCCGAUCGUAGUCGGAUCGCAGUCUGCAACUCAUUUGCGUGAAGUCAGAAUCGCUGGCGUCUUGGAUCGACGCCAUGCGGUAGAAUGCGUUCCCGGGUCUUGUACACACCGCCCGUCACCAUGGGAGUGGGUUUUACCAGAAAUGGAUUAGCCUAACCGUAAGGAGGCGAUUACCACGGUAGGAUUCAUGACUGGGGUGAAGUCGUAACAAGGUAG